RNAcentral lists this long non-coding RNA (1318 nucleotides) under Gouania willdenowi (blunt-snouted clingfish). RNAcentral describes it as "lncRNA (ENSGWIG00000000303.1)". The record is from RNAcentral. Lineage: Eukaryota; Metazoa; Chordata; Actinopteri; Blenniiformes; Gobiesocidae.
AUGCUCAAGUCUUUCCGGGAUCAAACCACGUGUCCCUUCCUCUCAGUCCUCCACUUUUAUUCUUUCUCAAAACUUGUGAAGAAGAGCCGACCCCGUCAGCAGCAGUGUCCCAGUGUGAGCUAUUCUUUCUGAACAUGCAUUCCUGUGCAGAGCGUGUUUUGUGUUUAUAGUGUGUGUGUUUGUCUCACAGGUGUGUGUGGCUCUUCAGGACAUGUGUGUGGUGUUUGCCGGGCCUUUCCUCGCAGGGAUUUCUGAGAGAAAAGUAAAGAGACUGUUUUGGUGUUGCGGGCCAGUCCGAACUGUUAAAAUGCUCAAUGGAGUUCAUGCAAAAGUAGAGUUUAAGCUGCUGGAGGGAGCGAUGUUAGCUGUGCAAACAAUGAAUGGAAUCAUUGUCCAAGGACAAAAAAUCAAGGUACCCUUUUUACCCUCUUUAUUUUAUUCCAUUUUCUCUGGGUGGUUUAUAAUAUAUGUGUUUUCUGUGUUGUAGGUGCGGAGGCCUGUGCAUGAGUCCAUACUAGACCUGGAUGUGACCCUGGAUGUUUUAAUGAGUGACUCUUUGAACAUCUGUCAGCUCUACGCAGUAAAACUAAAGGCCAGAGAGGUGGAGACUUUCUCACCAAACCUCAGUGGAAAUAAAGCACCAGCGUUAGCUAAUGGGGCGUCAUCAUCAGAAACACAAAAUAAACACGUCCACUCCAUUACUGAUGAAUCAGAAAUGUGCGAGGCAACCCUCAGAGAGAUGUUUGCUCCCUUUGGUGCCGUGCAGUCAGUGCGUCUGCUCUCCAAACCUGAAAAACAAGCAAGGCAUGCAUAUAUAAAGUUUUGGAGCCCUGAUGGUAAACAAGCAGCACUCAGUGCCUCUGAGGAUCUACGAAUAAAGAACUACCUCAUCUGCUCAGCGCUGACUCCGCUCCACCUACCCUCAUGGGUUACUAUGACAACAGUGAGUUCUGGUCCAGAUGAAAUAGAUGAUGAGACAACAAAGGUGAACAAUAGAUUGGACUCCGACAGUUUUUUUUUUUUUAUCUGAAGUGACUUCAUAUUAAAUAUUUGCUGUUGCAUCAGGAAGUGACACAGACGCUGAAGAAACUGGACCGGAGUCUGGGAAAACUUUUCCAAUCUCUUCCAGGAAGUACCCUGUCUGUGGUUCUGCUGCUCGGUCAAACCAGGUAAGAAUUUGGGAAAUUUUUUUGAGCUUUUCACCUAAAAUAUCUGAGACAGUUGUCAUUAUUCUUCUCUUUUCUUCACAGAACAAACGAUGACCAUCCAGGUUUGUGUUUAAUAGAAGUCACACAGGAGCCUUAAGGAAACAAGACAG